ACGCACGCUGGCGGCGUGCUUCACACAUGCCAGUCGAACGGAAAGGCCCUGCUUUUGUGGGGUGCUCGAGUGGCGAACGGGUGAGUAACACGUGAGUAACCUGCCCUUGACUUUGGGAUAACUUCAGGAAACUGGGGCUAAUACCGGAUAGGAGCUCCUGCUGCAUGGUGGGGGUUGGAAAGUUUCGGCGGUUGGGGAUGGACUCGCGGCUUAUCAGCUUGUUGGUGGGGUAGUGGCUUACCAAGGCUUUGACGGGUAGCCGGCCUGAGAGGGUGACCGGCCACAUUGGGACUGAGAUACGGCCCAGACUCCUACGGGAGGCAGCAGUGGGGAAUAUUGCACAAUGGGCGGAAGCCUGAUGCAGCAACGCCGCAUGCGGGAUGACGGCCUUCGGGUUGUAAACCGCUUUCGCCUGUGACGAAGCGUGAGUGACGGUAAUGGGUAAAGAAGCACCGGCUAACUACG
This 465-nucleotide ribosomal RNA is filed under the name uncultured bacterium. RNAcentral's name for it is "partial 16S ribosomal RNA". It matches the Rfam family "Bacterial small subunit ribosomal RNA", at positions 29 to 505 of the family's 1533-position model. The record is from RNAcentral.